This 201-nucleotide long non-coding RNA is filed under the name Carica papaya (papaya). RNAcentral describes it as "long non-coding RNA (CPAP_LNC005885)". The record is from RNAcentral. Lineage: Eukaryota; Viridiplantae; Streptophyta; Magnoliopsida; Brassicales; Caricaceae.
CUUGGAUACUAAAGACACAUUUGGAAUGCAUUUUUAACAAGAUAUUAAUGGCCACCAACAUGACUUUUGAGUUUAAAAUCUCAUUCCUGAGUCAUUCAUUGAAAGCUUCACUUAUUCUUUAGGUUUUUUUUUUUGUUGAAAUAAAAGUGUGGAGUUGUAUUAAUGUUAGAGUGCCAAGGGAGUACAACCCGUUUACAAUGU